UGCGAAGGGGGCUAGCGUUGCUCGGAAUCACUGGGCGUAAAGGGUGCGUAGGCGGGCCUUUAAGUCAGGGGUGAAAUCCUGGAGCUCAACUCCAGAACUGCCUUUGAUACUGAGGAUCUUGAGUUCGGGAGAGGUGAGUGGAACUGCGAGUGUAGAGGUGAAAUUCGUAGAUAUUCGCAAGAACACCAGUGGCGAAGGCGGCUUACUGGUCCGGUUCUGACGCUGAGGCGCGAAAGCGUGGGGAGCAAACAGG
RNAcentral lists this ribosomal RNA (253 nucleotides) under uncultured bacterium. RNAcentral describes it as "partial 16S ribosomal RNA". It matches the Rfam family "Bacterial small subunit ribosomal RNA", at positions 524 to 776 of the family's 1533-position model. The record is from RNAcentral.